UACGAAGGGGGCUAGCGUUGUUCGGAAUUACUGGGCGUAAAGGGUGCGCAGGCGGCUUGCUAAGACAGGUGUGAAAGCCCCGAGCUUAACUUGGGAAUGGCGCUUGUGACUGGCAGGCUGGAGUGUGGCAGAGGGAGGUGGAAUUCCACGUGUAGCAGUGAAAUGCGUAGAGAUGUGGAGGAACACCGAUGGCGAAGGCAGCCUCCUGGGCCAACACUGACGCUCAUGCACGAGAGCGUGGGGAGCAAACAGG
This 253-nucleotide ribosomal RNA is filed under the name uncultured bacterium. RNAcentral describes it as "partial 16S ribosomal RNA". It matches the Rfam family "Bacterial small subunit ribosomal RNA", at positions 524 to 776 of the family's 1533-position model. The record is from RNAcentral.